This is a non-coding RNA of Pelobates cultripes (western spadefoot toad), 212 nucleotides long. NCBI's taxonomy places the organism in Eukaryota, Metazoa, Chordata, Amphibia, Anura, Pelobatidae. The record is from the annotation of a GenBank genome assembly.
AUUGAAUUACUUCUCACUUAUCUCCAGGGCAGAGGAGAGGAAGCCAGGAUGCAUUGUGGUAAAAGGUAUGUGUAUUGGGUUACCUCUCAGGAUAAGGGGGGGGGAAUCUGUGGGUUGUAACUAAUAUGUUACUGGAUAUUUUAUACCUCCCUGUGGGCGGUCCUGUAUUUGCAAGACUGUAAUAAAAACCAGGCUGGGUGUGCCAGCACCUC